Dreissena polymorpha is the source of this 1019-nucleotide long non-coding RNA. RefSeq lists it as uncharacterized. The transcript has 3 exons. The record is from RefSeq and is a predicted model, not a curated record. NCBI's taxonomy places the organism in Eukaryota, Metazoa, Mollusca, Bivalvia, Myida, Dreissenidae.
GUAUUGAAGAAAAAAUGCAGGUUAAACUUGUUGUUAAAAUGAAGUUAAUGUAAUUUCACAAACAGUAGAGUUUAACUUAAUGAGUUUUUCCAUUAACAAGAAUUUCUUAAAAUAAUAAUGUAUGGAUAUCAUUUGGAAAGUGACAUGAAAUGUUGUUAAAAAGUGAUGCAUACAAGUGUUUCAGAAGUCUGUCUAGGAAUAGAACAACAACUGAAGCUGACCAGUUGAUGGAAGAUACUGCAGAGUUUGGCAGGGAAAUAACCCAAGACAGCAAAGCGGCUCUUUUGGCGCAUUUACCAAGAGGACUAACAUGGCCACAAAUUCAUGAGAUCAUGCAGGAGCCGCACAGUAUAACAGCAGUACAAGUUCUAUAAAAGAUCCACGACCUACUGAAGCCCAGCUAAUUAACAAAAAAGUUUUUAAAAACUGUAAUUUUAUCCCACCUGGGUACUUAUAAUUUACUAAGCUGCCUUCACAAGUUUUAGACUUGCAAUUAUAUUUUAAACUGUCACUUGGAAAGUAAUACAUGUACAUGCAUUCAUGUUCUGAAUUUCUUUGAACAAUAAAAUUAUAUAAAAGUAUUUUAAUGAAAUUGAGCACCUAAAUUGCAUUAAAGUGAAAGUAGCUGAGAAAAAUAGUAUCCUUUAUUGUUCUCAUGGGCAGCUACAUAUAUUGUGACAAACAUGAAGUAGCUAAAAUAACUUAAAUUUUUCAUUUUGUUUCUUGUAUAUCGUUUGUACAGGGUUCGUGAAUUGUUACUGUAUAUUACUUGACUUGCUUGUAUUUUGUUACUUUGAAUACAUGUUGUUAAGGUUGCAUUAUACUUUUUAACUUUUAAAGUAGCGCCUGUUCUGUUAUGUAAGGCCCUGAUUUAUGAUAAUGGACCUAGAGGCUUUGUAAGCAUGUAUUAAACAACACUUGUUUGAUCUGAAUAAUUUGUUAAAUAAAUGUAACACAAUUUGUAAUCUGAUGUUAUAUUUUGAUGAAUUGUGAACAAAAUAAUACAUCGAAGAAACUAA